UGUAGUUUAGUGGUAAGAAUUCUACGUUGUGGCCGUAGAGACCUGGGCUCGAAUCCCAGCAGCCACAUUUUGUUAUCUUUUUUUAUUUCUCCCUAUGCUCUGUUUCUUAUGUGUACUCAACUGGUUGACUAGUUGCAGGGUGGGGAUUGUAGAAGGCUCUGCAGUGCUGCUGGCUUUUUGGAAUUUAAAAACAAGGCUGCGUUUGCACAGUACAUUGACUGCGGCGGAGACACUGUGAAGCGUUGAUUGGUCUCGGAAUUAAUAAAAGCACACGUUUCAGUUCAGAGAAUACAAUCAAAGGAGCCGGAAACAGAGAAGAAGAAAAUUAUGUCAUUUCAAAGAAACAAAUUCCACAAAAAAAAGUAUGAAGAAAAUGCUUGUUUGCGCAGUAGAGUCAAAACUCAGACUUUUAUACCAGAAGUCCAUAACUAGUUUUAAACAUGGAGUGCUUCCUAAUCGCGGUGAAAUAUGCAAGCUUUUUUCUUUCACUGCCAAUUGAAUUAAUCUCAUCUGGUAACUUGUUAUUCUACUCCAUACACAACCAAUAUAUUCUAUUAUGUGCAAGCAAGAUAACAUGAAUAUUCUGCAAAAAGGAAUAAGAGAAAAAGAAGAUGGAAGUGCACGCAACAGUCAGUCCUUUGCUAUAAACAACUCUGCAUGAUUGAAGCACUUACAUAUAUAUUUUAGUAGUAGCAUCUAUACCUUUAACUAUUCUCCCUAAUUAAUGGGAGAUAUGAUCUCUUCUAGAUGUGGUUAUAGUGGCUACCAGUUGUGCCUUUUUCACCUUUGCUAAACCAUUCGCCUCUCCAUGAUAUACUUAAAGCUACUCUGGUUGGUUAUCUCUCCAGUUGUGGGUGGGUGGUUCUGAUUUAGGAAUCUCCCGAAUUAAAGGUGUCAACUUUGAAGAUGAGACAAAGACUUUAUUG
RNAcentral lists this long non-coding RNA (926 nucleotides) under Linum usitatissimum (flax). RNAcentral describes it as "long non-coding RNA (LUSI_LNC006174)". The stretch from base 1 to 67 matches the Rfam family "tRNA". Lineage: Eukaryota; Viridiplantae; Streptophyta; Magnoliopsida; Malpighiales; Linaceae. The record is from RNAcentral.